Molecule: ribosomal RNA, 590 nt
Filed under: uncultured Serratia sp.
Lineage: Bacteria; Pseudomonadati; Pseudomonadota; Gammaproteobacteria; Enterobacterales; Yersiniaceae
Description: bacterial SSU rRNA
Rfam family: Bacterial small subunit ribosomal RNA
Source: RNAcentral
UACGGCCGCAAGGUUAAAACUCAAAUGAAUUGACGGGGGCCCGCACAAGCGGUGGAGCAUGUGGUUUAAUUCGAUGCAACGCGAAGAACCUUACCUACUCUUGACAUCCAGAGAACUUUCCAGAGAUGGAUUGGUGCCUUCGGGAACUCUGAGACAGGUGCUGCAUGGCUGUCGUCAGCUCGUGUUGUGAAAUGUUGGGUUAAGUCCCGCAACGAGCGCAACCCUUAUCCUUUGUUGCCAGCGGUUCGGCCGGGAACUCAAAGGAGACUGCCAGUGAUAAACUGGAGGAAGGUGGGGAUGACGUCAAGUCAUCAUGGCCCUUACGAGUAGGGCUACACACGUGCUACAAUGGCAUAUACAAAGAGAAGCGACCUCGCGAGAGCAAGCGGACCUCAUAAAGUAUGUCGUAGUCCGGAUUGGAGUCUGCAACUCGACUCCAUGAAGUCGGAAUCGCUAGUAAUCGUAGAUCAGAAUGCUACGGUGAAUACGUUCCCGGGCCUUGUACACACCGCCCGUCACACCAUGGGAGUGGGUUGCAAAAGAAGUAGGUAGCUUAACCUUCGGGAGGGCGCUUACCACUUUGUGAUUCA